GCGCGCUCUUUUCUCCCAUCUCUCCAUCCUGUGGGUGCAACGCUAAAGCAACGUUUGGUGGACGAGACUACAUUAAAGGCGAAUAUCUACUUCGUGUUUAAGUUGAAAAGCAGUUUGUGGCAACCUCCUAUUAAUGGAUUAUGAAUGUGGCAGUGCAAAGAAUGCCGUCUGCAAUUAGCUAGCAGGUAUUUGUUAUUGCAACAUUUUAGGCAGGUUCAUGGGCAC
Long non-coding RNA from Micropterus dolomieu (smallmouth bass), 225 nucleotides. RefSeq lists it as uncharacterized. The transcript has 3 exons. NCBI's taxonomy places the organism in Eukaryota, Metazoa, Chordata, Actinopteri, Centrarchiformes, Centrarchidae. The record is from RefSeq and is a predicted model, not a curated record.